UUAACUAACUUGACUUUACAUCAUUAUGUUAUGUCACCGCCUCCUCUUACCAUAAUCAGUUCUUGUCACUAACUUUUUGAAAAAUUAUCCCAUAUUCUAACACACAUAAAACCUAAUUCUUUCUUUUUAUUGUAAUUAGGCUAAAUCACUAGAUUAUUAGAUCGCAAAAUCUCUUUGUCACCUAUAUUCAUAUAAUUCACAGUACAAUCCAUCAUGGAGUCAUGUAAACAUAAACGUUCAGC
RNAcentral lists this long non-coding RNA (242 nucleotides) under Capsicum annuum. RNAcentral's name for it is "long non-coding RNA (CANN_LNC016979)". Lineage: Eukaryota; Viridiplantae; Streptophyta; Magnoliopsida; Solanales; Solanaceae. The record is from RNAcentral.